This is a long non-coding RNA of Leopardus geoffroyi (Geoffroy's cat), 2346 nucleotides long. RefSeq lists it as uncharacterized. The transcript has 2 exons. NCBI's taxonomy places the organism in Eukaryota, Metazoa, Chordata, Mammalia, Carnivora, Felidae. The record is from RefSeq and is a predicted model, not a curated record.
UCAUGAGCCAUGAGAUCAUGAGCUGAGCCAAAGUCAGAUGCUUAACUAACUGAGCCACCCAGGCACCCCGAGAGUAAGCAGAAUUUUAAGAAGUUUACCCUUUCAUGGUAGGGCUGUUUUCAGGCUUUUUAUAGAAUUUGCUGACCCGAUAUAACAGGCUUGUUACUAUAGGCGUCUCAGUUCCUUUGGUCACCAAGUAAGAGCGGGGGGCCUGUACUGAGCCGCACACAACAGCCAGGCCCGGGGCGAGGUGACUCUGUCCGCACAGGCUUACAGUCAGGGGCAGGGAAGGGUGUAGGGGUGAGACCUCAACAGAAAGGAUUCCCCGUGAGCUGCGUUGAGUGACCAGGGGCUAUGGGAACUCAGUAGAAGGAAGAAAUGCUAAUAUUAGGCCCCUUUAUUAUAAAAAGAAAUUUUAUGCAAGAAAUAGUGGUUGAGACUCCCUUGAUUUGACCUGAUCUUUCCUCCAAUCAGCGAUCAUAAAGCAAUGCCAUAGAUUGAAUGUUUGUGUCACCCCAGAAUUCAUGUUAAAUCCUAACCUCCAAGGUUAGGUGUUAGGAGGCGGGGCCUUUGGAAAGUGCUUAGGGUGAGGGUGGAGCCCUCAUGAAGGAGAUUAGUGCCCUAUAGGAGAGACCUCGGAGAGCUCCCUUGCCCCUUCCACCAGGUGAGGACACAGUCACAGAUGUGGUCUUUGAACCAGGAGGCAGGUGCUCACCAGACAUGGAAGCUGCUGGCACCUUGAUCUUGAAGCUCCAGCCUCCAGAACUGCGAGAAACUCUGCAAAAGACCUGCCUUUGGAGGUUGGACAUGGUCAGACGCUGCCAGCUGUUUGGGAGAUGUGAGCUCAGCCUCGGGGGGAGAGCAAGAGAAAGCCCGAGGAUGGGAAAGGUUCUGGAAGGAUACUUGAAGAACAUACCCUUCCACUCUGACCCUGGGAGCCACCUCACCGAGAAGGGAACGACAUUUCCAGGCCUCUGUUCCGAGACCCCUGUUACUGCGGGCUGCCUUCCAGACCACUUCGGGGAGCUACUAAGGCUCGUGCCUACUCAGAAACAAGACAUCUCAGACAGUCCCAGAUGGCCAGCAAGGGGCAAACCCAUUGUCCCCAAGCCCCUGCUACCCACCUCAGGCAGGCAGGGACUGGAGAGGUCAUGGCAUUGGUACCUUUCUAGGUCCUUGGCGAUGAGUGCAGAGGAAAGUCUUGUAAGAGACCAUGCUGGACUUCUAAGCAAUGUGGGCCCCAAAUCCUUCUAUGUUUAAGUUGGUUUGCGUUGGGUUUCUGUCACUUGCAGCUACAGGAGUCUUCACGGGUACAGAGGCCAGCCACUUCCCGAGUUGCCAAGUGACCCAUUUAGGCUGUUCCCGCCUUAUCCGAUACCCCCCCCCCCCCCCGGCUGUGGUUUCUCCUCAUUCCGCAGCUCUGUCUCCCUUUCCUCCACCACUUAAACGAGUACUCAGGAAAGGACUGGCCGCUGUCAACUAUACUUUGAAAUUGCCCAUGGAAGUGAUUAUUGGAUGGGCCAGCCCCCCACCCCCACCUCCAGUCCUCCCUGGGUUGGAACUGUCACGUUCUAACUGCACCGCAGAGACGAUUGUGCUCUGCGCCCGGAACAAGAGGAGUCCUGUCUUUCCCAGGGUCGAUGCACCUGCUUGGGUCUGCUGUUAGGCUGCACGUUGUUUGUUUGCUUACAGCUUUGUUGUUGUUGUUGUUGUCGUUCUUUUUUGUUUAAAACACAAUUUGGCGUUUCUCAAGGCUGAUUUGCAGACCCACAGAAUGCGCUCAUUUUGCCAGCUCUGGGCUUUGGGGGAAUCCUUUAGCCUGAAUAACUGGCGGCCGGCUGUGGCCAAGCCCGGGCAGAGCUGAACCCAGUGGGGGUUGGAGGCCAGCCAGGCCGUGGCCUGUCACCCACAAUAGCUCUUCUAAAGCCCCUCCACAAAGGGUGACGCAGAACAAAGACCAGGGGGCAAAGUUAAUUUAUUUGGAUUUUUUUUUUUAACAACCAAAAAAUUUUUUGAAGUUACAAAAAAAAGACAAUCAUUUACAUUUUAGAACUUUUACACUCUGAGAAUAAGCCACAGUGCCCGGUUUUGGUGAAUGAAAGGCUUAAAAGAUCCCAGCCUGACUGGAUGGUAGUGAUUAUCUAGGUCGUAUUCUCCAGAACGGGCCUUACUCUGUCCAUCUCAUGAAUCGCUCUGCUCUGGAACUUUCAACUCUUAACCCUUUCGAUACCAAACUUCUUUGCCCCAGAAGGCCUCUUCCAUGUGUCCCUUUCCCUCUCUCUGUCCUUUGUCUGCCUUUCUUUGUAACUGGCUGCACGCGCCUUCACCCUGGUGUCUCAGCGCCAA